This 247-nucleotide small RNA is filed under the name Mus musculus (house mouse). The record is from RNAcentral. Lineage: Eukaryota; Metazoa; Chordata; Mammalia; Rodentia; Muridae.
UCUCUUGGUACAUGAGUGGCUACCACACUGGCUACUAUAUGGUUUCCCAGGUGUUGGAGAUCGCACCCUGGGGCUUGGGCAUCCUGGGCAAGCCCCACCACUGAGCUGUAUCUCAGCCUGGCCAGUUUUUGAAGUUUAAUGUUUCGUUGGGUUUCAGACAAAAUAAAAAAGAAGGAAAGUGCUCACAUACAAAUUAAGAAAUAAUCCCGCCACCCCCUCCCAUCUCUCCCGACUGUCUGGAUGACAC